Molecule: long non-coding RNA, 505 nt
Filed under: Drosophila guanche
Lineage: Eukaryota; Metazoa; Arthropoda; Insecta; Diptera; Drosophilidae
Source: RNAcentral
AUGAGCACAAGGUUAUUAGACUCGGUUAGUUAUAUGGCCUUUAUCAGUAGCGAGGAAGAAACAGUUUUUAAGGCGGACAAGUGCUGCUCGUAUAUUAAGAAAUCCGAAGUCGGUGGAAAAUACGAGCAAGUGACAUAAAUAUAAUGGCCGGGAAGAAUCAGUCUGACACCGAGGAAUUCCAUUUCUUGUGAAACCUGGACUGUGAAAAGCUCCUCCAAGCAUGAAGUAAGAAUCCACUGCAAUCAGAACCCCUCCUCCACGUCGAGACGAACGAUCAUUCCUAUAAAUUGUGUACCAAAACUGCCAAAACUAAGACCGACACGGGCUUUAACCAGGUUUCGGUAAACACAAUAACGUGGUAUGAAAAUGUGAAACUGCCAAUAAAAAGAGUGCUCAGCUUACUACGCAAGCCUCUAUAAUUUUGAUCGGCAACAAGGAGGAAAAUCAGUUUUUUGACUGCGAGGACUUGCAGCGGGAAGCAGAGGAGCAGAUGGAUGGAACAAAG